Molecule: ribosomal RNA, 498 nt
Filed under: uncultured bacterium
Lineage: Bacteria
Description: partial 16S ribosomal RNA
Rfam family: Bacterial small subunit ribosomal RNA
Source: RNAcentral
AGUGAACGCUGGCGGCGUGCCUUACACAUGCAAGUCGAACGGUAACAGGUCUUCGGAUGCUGACGAGUGGCGAACGGGUGAGUAAUACAUCGGAACGUGCCUAGUAGUGGGGGAUAACUACUCGAAAGAGUGGCUAAUACCGCAUGAGAUCUACGGAUGAAAGCAGGGGAUCGCAAGACCUUGUGCUACUAGAGCGGCCGAUGGCAGAUUAGGUAGUUGGUGGGAUAAAAGCUUACCAAGCCGACGAUCUGUAGCUGGUCUGAGAGGACGAUAGGCCACACUGGGACUGAGACACGGCCCAGACUCCUACGGGAGGCAGCAGUGGGGAAUUUUGGACAAUGGGCGCAAGCCUGAUCCAGCAAUGCCGCGUGCAGGAUGAAGGCCUUCGGGUUGUAAACUGCUUUUGUACGGAACGAAAAGCCCUGGGUUAAUACCCUGGGGUCAUGACGGUACCGUAAGAAUAAGCACCGGCUAACUACGUGCCAGCCGCCGCGGUAA